UCCGAAGGGGGCUAUCGUUGUUCGGAAUCACUGGGCGUAAAGGGCGCGUAGGCGGCUUUGUAAGUCGGGGGUGAAAGCCUGUGGCUCAACCACAGAAUUGCCUUCGAUACUGCGAGGCUUGAGACCGGAAGAGGUUAGUGGAACUGCGAGUGUAGAGGUGAAAUUCGUAGAUAUUCGCAAGAACACCAGUGGCGAAGGCGGCUGACUGGUCCGGAUCUGACGCUGAGGCGCGAAAGCGUGGGGAGCAAACAGG
RNAcentral lists this ribosomal RNA (253 nucleotides) under uncultured bacterium. Its description in RNAcentral is "partial 16S ribosomal RNA". It matches the Rfam family "Bacterial small subunit ribosomal RNA", at positions 524 to 776 of the family's 1533-position model. The record is from RNAcentral.